RNAcentral lists this ribosomal RNA (479 nucleotides) under uncultured bacterium. Its description in RNAcentral is "partial 16S ribosomal RNA". It matches the Rfam family "Bacterial small subunit ribosomal RNA", at positions 28 to 507 of the family's 1533-position model. The record is from RNAcentral.
GAUGAACGCUAGCGGGAGGCCUAACACAUGCAAGCCGAGCGGUAUUGUUUCUUCGGAAAUGAGAGAGCGGCGUACGGGUGCGUAACACGUGUGCAACCUGCCUUUAUCUGGGGGAUAGCCUUUCGAAAGGAAGAUUAAUACUCCAUAAUAUAUUGAACGGCAUCGUUUAAUAUUGAAAGCUCCGGCGGAUAGAGAUGGGCACGCGCAAGAUUAGCUAGUUGGUGAGGUAACGGCUCACCAAGGCGAUGAUCUUUAGGGGGCCUGAGAGGGUGAUCCCCCACACUGGUACUGAGACACGGACCAGACUCCUACGGGAGGCAGCAGUGAGGAAUAUUGCUCAAUGGGUGCAAGCCUGAACCAGCCAUCCCGCGUGAAGGACGACUGCCCUAUGGGUUGUAAACUUCUUUUGUAUAGGGAUAAACCUACCCUCGUGAGGGUAGCUGAAGGUACUAUACGAAUAAGCACCGGCUAACUCCGUG